RNAcentral lists this unclassified non-coding RNA (279 nucleotides) under Hevea brasiliensis (rubber tree). Lineage: Eukaryota; Viridiplantae; Streptophyta; Magnoliopsida; Malpighiales; Euphorbiaceae. The record is from RNAcentral.
GAUGAGAUUCCAUGCUCCAAUUUACGGAAAGUCAAUAUCUAUAUUUUAUAUUUUCUUAUUUAGUUGUGUAGCAUAAUUUUAGGGAUUUAAUUCUUUUCCUAUUUGAGUUUUGUGUGUGUGUGUGUGUGCAGUGCCUGAGCUGAAGAUGCUGCAAGAGGUUGGUUAGUAGUGAGUCAGUCAAACAAGAGUAAUUUGCUGAAAAACAUCACAUACACACUUAUUUUUGGCUUGGUUUGUUGCUUAGUGCCGGAGAUUUUUUUUCUUUUACCUUCCGGAGGA